RNAcentral lists this ribosomal RNA (505 nucleotides) under uncultured methanogenic archaeon. RNAcentral's name for it is "bacterial SSU rRNA". It matches the Rfam family "Archaeal small subunit ribosomal RNA", at positions 24 to 537 of the family's 1478-position model. Lineage: Archaea; Methanobacteriati; Methanobacteriota. The record is from RNAcentral.
ACACAGCUAAGGGGGUUGGACUAACCCAUGCCAGUCGAGACGUUCAAGACCUCAGCGUACCGCUCAGUAACACGUGGAAAAUCUGCCCUGGAGUGGAGCAAAAUCCCGGGAAUCUGGGGGAAAUACUCCAAAGUUCGUGCAGACUGGAAUGUUAUGUGAAUGAAAGAUCCGUCGCUUCAGGAUGAUUCUGCGGCCGAUUAGGUAGUUGUUGGCCUAACCGCCCAACAAGCCUUUCAUCGGUACGGGUUGUGGGACCAAGAGCCCGGAGAUGGACCCUGAGACACGAAUCCAGGCCCUACGGGGCGCAGCAGGCGCGAAAACUUUACCAUGCGGGCCACCGUGAUAAGGAAACCCCGAGUGCCAAAACAGGCUGGCUGUCCGCCAGUGUAAAUAACUGGUGAAGAAACGGCCGGGCAAGACCGGUGCCGGCCGCCGCCGUAAUACGGGCGGAUCGAGUGGUGGCCGCUAUUACUGGGCUUAAAGGGUCCGUAGCUGGAUGUUCAUG